GGUGCCGUAGUGUAAUGGUAGCACACCUGCCGAUUAGAGGAGUACGCUUUGAAAGCAGGUAGUGCGGGUUCGAGUCCCGACGUCGCCGCCA
This 91-nucleotide transfer RNA is filed under the name Mesorhizobium sp. M7A.F.Ca.MR.176.00.0.0. RNAcentral describes it as "tRNA-Ser". It matches the Rfam family "tRNA". Rfam says of the family: Transfer RNA (tRNA) molecules are approximately 80 nucleotides in length. The record is from RNAcentral. Lineage: Bacteria; Pseudomonadati; Pseudomonadota; Alphaproteobacteria; Hyphomicrobiales; Phyllobacteriaceae.